RNAcentral lists this ribosomal RNA (483 nucleotides) under uncultured Glomeromycotina. RNAcentral's name for it is "SSU rRNA". It matches the Rfam family "Eukaryotic small subunit ribosomal RNA", at positions 596 to 1081 of the family's 1831-position model. The record is from RNAcentral. Lineage: Eukaryota; Fungi; Glomeromycota.
AGCGUAUAUUAAAGUUGUUGCAGUUAAAAAGCUCGUAGUUGAAUUUCGGGAUCAGUACGUUGGUCGUGCCUUAGGUACGUACUGGUGUUACUGGUUCCUACCUUCUGACGAACCAUCAUGUCAUUAAUUUGGUGUGGCGGGGAAUCAGGACUGUUACUUUGAAAAAAUUAGAGUGUUUAAAGCAGGCUCGCGCUUGAAUACAUUAGCAUGGAAUAAUGAAAUAGGACGUUGAUCCUAUUUUGUUGGUUUCUAGGAUUGACGUAACGAUUAAUAGGGAUAGUUGGGGGCAUUAGUAUUCAAUUGUCAGAGGUGAAAUUCUUGGAUUUAUUGAAGACUAACUACUGCGAAAGCAUUUGCCAAGGAUGUUUUCAUUAAUCAAGAACGAAAGUUAGGGGAUCGAAGACGAUCAGAUACCGUCGUAGUCUUAACCAUAAACUAUGCCGACUAGGGAUCGGAUGAUGUUAAUUUUUUAAUGACUCAUUC